RNAcentral lists this microRNA precursor (200 nucleotides) under Dichanthelium oligosanthes. RNAcentral describes it as "MIR1435 microRNA precursor family". It matches the Rfam family "MIR1435 microRNA precursor family". The record is from Rfam by way of RNAcentral. Lineage: Eukaryota; Viridiplantae; Streptophyta; Magnoliopsida; Poales; Poaceae.
UGGUUUUGGCUGAAGUCAAACUUUCUUAAGUUUGACCAAAUUUAUAUAAAAAAUUAUUAAUUUUUAUAAUACCAAAUAAACAUACCAUGAAAAUAUAUUUCAUUAUGAAUCUAAUGAUACUUAUAUGGUUUCAUAAAAAGUAGUAAUUUUUUGUAUAAAUUUGGUCAAACUUAAGAAAGUUUGACUUCAGACAAAUCUAA